UACGUAGGGUGCGAGCGUUAAUCGGAAUUACUGGGCGUAAAGCGUGCGCAGGCGGUUCGGAAAGAAAGGUGUGAAAUCCCAGGGCUUAACCUUGAAAUGGCACUUUUAACUCCCGAGCUAGAGUAUGUCAGGGGGGGGUAGAAUUCCACGUGUAGCAGUGAAAUGCGUAGAGAUGUGGAGGAAUACCGAUGGCGAAGGCAGCCCCCUGGGAUAAUACUGACGCUCAGGCACGAAAGCGUGGGGAGCAAACAGG
This 253-nucleotide ribosomal RNA is filed under the name uncultured bacterium. RNAcentral describes it as "partial 16S ribosomal RNA". It matches the Rfam family "Bacterial small subunit ribosomal RNA", at positions 524 to 776 of the family's 1533-position model. The record is from RNAcentral.